AGCCUGAACGCUGGCGGCGUGGCUAAGACAUGCAAGUCGAACGGGGGUAGCAAUACCCCAGUGGCGGACGGGUGAGUAAUGUAUCGCUAACGUGCCCCCGGAGCCUGGGAUAGCCUCCCGAAAAGGGAGGGUAAUACCAGAUGACAUCACUGCCUCGCAUGAGGUGGUGCUCAAAGCAGCAAUGCACUCUGGGGAGCGGGGCAGUACUACGGAGCAAGUCGUAGUUGGCGGGGUAACGCCCACCAAGGCGACGACGCGUAGCCGAUGAGAGGUUGCCGGACCA
Molecule: ribosomal RNA, 283 nt
Filed under: uncultured soil bacterium
Lineage: Bacteria
Description: partial 16S ribosomal RNA
Rfam family: Bacterial small subunit ribosomal RNA
Source: RNAcentral